GACGAACGCUGGCGGCGUGCUUAACACAUGCAAGUCGAACGGACAGGCCCUGCUCUUGCGGGGCGCUCGAGAGGCGAACGGGUGAGUAAAACGUGAGUAACCUGUCCCUGACUUUGGGAUAACUUCAGGAAACUGGGGCUAAUACCGGAUAGGAGAUCCUGCUGCAUGGGGGGGGUUGGAAAGAUUCGGCGGUGGUGGAUGGUCUCGCAGCUUAUCAGCCUGUUGGUGGGGUAGGGGCUUACAAAGGCUUUGACGGGUAGCCCGCCUGGGAGGGUGACCGGCCUCAUUAGGACUACGAUACGCCGCAGACUCCUACGGUACGCAGCAGGGGGGAGUAUUGCGGAACGGGCGGGCGCCUGAUACGGCAGCCCUCCGUGCGUGAUGCCGUCCUACGAGUUGUGAACAACUUUCUCCUGUACUGUACCCUUAGUGACGGUACCGGGUCAGAAAGCACCGGCUAACUACGUG
RNAcentral lists this ribosomal RNA (468 nucleotides) under uncultured bacterium. RNAcentral describes it as "partial 16S ribosomal RNA". It matches the Rfam family "Bacterial small subunit ribosomal RNA", at positions 28 to 507 of the family's 1533-position model. The record is from RNAcentral.